Long non-coding RNA from Saccostrea cuccullata (small rock oyster), 408 nucleotides. RefSeq lists it as uncharacterized. The record is from RefSeq and is a predicted model, not a curated record. NCBI's taxonomy places the organism in Eukaryota, Metazoa, Mollusca, Bivalvia, Ostreida, Ostreidae. The transcript is spliced from 3 exons.
UUUUAAAAGAAAACCAGUGAGAUAAAAUCAUAUAAAAUGUAUGAUGAUUCAGGAUGUGGUCAUUUGAGACCUGUUCUGUGGAUGCCCUUAGACAGUGUGUCUACCCAUCAUGCCAUCUGAUAUCACUUGUGCUGAGCAUAUUUCUCUCUCAAACUUAAACUACAGAGAGCCUGUGGAUAGAGGAUGAAGAGUGACCUUGGACUAAUUUUCUAGGUCAAAGAUCAUAGGUGAUGUGAAGGAAAUACCAGGAACUGAUGUUGAAAGAAGUACUUAAUGACACUUAUGAAUGGACUUAAAUGUGAAAGACUGUUCCAUUGUUUAUCUAAGAUAUAUGAAUUUAUUUAGUAUUUUGAUAUCAUUGAAAAAUACUGUUUCAGUUUUUGUACAUCAAAUGAAUUAUUAAACAUA